This 716-nucleotide ribosomal RNA is filed under the name uncultured bacterium. RNAcentral describes it as "bacterial SSU rRNA". It matches the Rfam family "Bacterial small subunit ribosomal RNA", at positions 112 to 803 of the family's 1533-position model. The record is from RNAcentral.
AACACGUAAACAACCUGCCUUCAGGAUGGGGACAACAGACGGAAACGACUGCUAAUACCGAAUACGUUCCUUAGGUCGCAUGACUUUAGGAAGAAAGGGUGGCCUCUACUUGUAAGCUAUCGCCUGAAGAGGGGUUUGCGUCUGAUUAGGUAGUUGGUGAGGUAACGGCCCACCAAGCCGACGAUCAGUAGCCGGUCUGAGAGGAUGAACGGCCACACUGGAACUGAGACACGGUCCAGACUCUUACGGGAGGCAGCAGUGGGGAAUCUUCCGCAAUGGGCGAAAAGCCUGACGGAGCAACGCCGCGUGAGUGAUGACGGCCUUCGGGUUGUAAAGCUCUGUGAUCGGGGACGAACGGUCGGCAGACCAAUACUCUGCUGAAGUGACGGUACCCGAAUAGCAAGCCACGGCUAACUACGUGCCAGCAGCCGCGGUAAUACGUAGGUGGCAAGCGUUGUCCGGAAUUAUUGGGCGUAAAGCGCGCGCAGGUGGCUUCUUAAGUCCAUCUUAAAAGUGCGGGGCUUAACCCCGGGAUGGGAUGGAAACUGAGAGGCUGGAGUAUCGGAGAGGAAAGUGGAAUUCCUAGUGUAGCGGUGAAAUGCGUAGAGAUUAGGAAGAACACCGGUGGCGAAGGCGACUUUCUGGACGACAACUGACGCUGAGGCGCGAAAGCGUGGGGAGCAAACAGGAUUAGAUACCCUGGUAGUCCACCCCGU